GUGUCAGCCGCCGCGGUAAUACGGAGGGGGCUAGCGUUGUUCGGAAUUACUGGGCGUAAAGCGCGUGCAGGCGGCCUGUUAAGUCGUGCGUGAAAGCUCCCUGGCUCAACCGGGAGAGGUCGUACGAAACUGGCGGGCUAGAGGGCAGUAGAGGCGCGUGGAAUUCCGGGUGUAGUGGUGAAAUGCGUAGAUAUCCGGAGGAACACCAGUGGCGAAGGCGGCGCGCUGGGCUGUACCUGACGCUAAGACGCGAAAGCAUGGGGAGCGAACGGGAUUAGAAACCCCGGUAGUCCAUGCUGUAAACGAUGUGCACUAGGCGUAGGAGAGGUCACACUCUGCUGUGCCGAAGCUAACGCGCUAAGUGCACCGCCUGGGGACUACGGCCGCAAGGCUAAAACUCAAAGGAAUUGACGGGG
Molecule: ribosomal RNA, 416 nt
Filed under: uncultured prokaryote
Description: bacterial SSU rRNA
Rfam family: Bacterial small subunit ribosomal RNA
Source: RNAcentral